RNAcentral lists this ribosomal RNA (723 nucleotides) under Dialonectria sp. RNAcentral's name for it is "LSU rRNA". It matches the Rfam family "Eukaryotic large subunit ribosomal RNA", at positions 85 to 840 of the family's 3401-position model. The record is from RNAcentral. Lineage: Eukaryota; Fungi; Ascomycota; Sordariomycetes; Hypocreales; Nectriaceae.
UACGGCGAGUGAAGCGGCAACAGCUCAAAUUUGAAAUCUGGCCCUUGGGUCCGAGUUGUAAUUUGUAGAGGAUGCUUUUGGUGAGGUGCCUUCCGAGUUCCCUGGAACGGGACGCCAUAGAGGGUGAGAGCCCCGUCUGGUUGGACACCGAGCCUCUGUAAAGCUCCUUCGACGAGUCGAGUAGUUUGGGAAUGCUGCUCUAAAUGGGAGGUAUAUGUCUUCUAAAGCUAAAUAUUGGCCAGAGACCGAUAGCGCACAAGUAGAGUGAUCGAAAGAUGAAAAGCACUUUGAAAAGAGGGUUAAAUAGUACGUGAAAUUGUUGAAAGGGAAGCGCUUAUGACCAGACUUGAGCCCGGUUAAUCAUCCAGCCUUCUGGCUGGUGCACUUGGCCGGCUCAGGCCAGCAUCAGUUCGGCGCGGGGGAUAAAGACUUCGGGAAUGUGGCUCCUCCGGGAGUGUUAUAGCCCGUUGUGUAAUACCCUGUACUGGACUGAGGUUCGCGCAUCUGCAAGGAUGCUGGCGUAAUGGUCAUCAGCGACCCGUCUUGAAACACGGACCAAGGAGUCGUCUUCGUAUGCGAGUGUUCGGGUGUCAAACCCCUACGCGUAAUGAAAGUGAACGCAGGUGAGAGCUUCGGCGCAUCAUCGACCGAUCCUGAUGUUCUCGGACGGAUUUGAGUAAGAGCAUACGGAGCCGGACCCGAAAGAAGGUGAACUAUGCCUGU